GACGAACGCUGGCGGCGUGCUUAACACAUGCAAGUCGAACGGAAAGGCCCCUUUGGGGGUACUCGAGUGGCGAACGGGUGAGUAACACGUGAGUAACCUGCCCUUGACUUCGGGAUAACUUCAGGAAACUGGGGCUAAUACCGGAUAGGAAUCCUUGCUGCAUGGGGGGGGUUGGAAAGCUUCGGCGGUUUUGGAUGGACUCGCGGCUUAUCAGCUUGUUGGUGGGGUAGUGGCUUACCAAGGCUUUGACGGGUAGCCGGCCUGAGAGGGCGACCGGCCACAUUGGGACUGAGAUACGGCCCAGACUCCUACGGGAGGCAGCAGUGGGGAAUAUUGAACAAUGGGCGGAAGCCUGAUGCAGCAACGCCGCGUGCGGGAUGACGGCCUUCGGGUUGUAAACCGCUUUCAGCAGGGGCGAAGCUUGUGGUGACGGUACCUGCAGAAGAAGCACCGGCUAACUACGUG
RNAcentral lists this ribosomal RNA (465 nucleotides) under uncultured bacterium. Its description in RNAcentral is "partial 16S ribosomal RNA". It matches the Rfam family "Bacterial small subunit ribosomal RNA", at positions 28 to 507 of the family's 1533-position model. The record is from RNAcentral.